This 253-nucleotide ribosomal RNA is filed under the name uncultured bacterium. RNAcentral's name for it is "partial 16S ribosomal RNA". It matches the Rfam family "Bacterial small subunit ribosomal RNA", at positions 524 to 776 of the family's 1533-position model. The record is from RNAcentral.
GACGUAGGGCGCGAGCGUUGUCCGGAUUUAUUGGGCGUAAAGAGCUCGUAGGCGGCUUGUCGCGUCGAAUGUGAAAACUCGGGGCUCAACUCCGAGCUUGCAUUCGAUACGGGCAGGCUAGAGUUCGGUAGGGGAGACUGGAAUUCCUGGUGUAGCGGUGAAAUGCGCAGAUAUCAGGAGGAACACCGAUGGCGAAGGCAGGUCUCUGGGCCGAUACUGACGCUGAGGCGCGAAAGCCAGGGGAGCAAACGGG